CUUUGACCUCGGAUCAGGUAGGGAUACCCGCUGAACUUAAGC
RNAcentral lists this ribosomal RNA (42 nucleotides) under Dendrothyrium sp. RNAcentral's name for it is "partial 28S ribosomal RNA". Lineage: Eukaryota; Fungi; Ascomycota; Dothideomycetes; Pleosporales; Didymosphaeriaceae. The record is from RNAcentral.